GACAGCACAGGGGAAACUGCCACUUUUAAGCUAUCAGAUCUUGUGAGAGCUCCCUCACUGUCACAAAAGCAGCAUGGGGGGAAACCACCACCAUGACCCAAUCACCUGCCACUGUCCCCCCCUAAACAAGUGGGAAUGACAAUUCAAGAUGGAAUUUGGGUGGUGUCACAGGGCCAAACCAUAUCAAGUACCUACAAAAUUAUGGUGACUCUUCACUAAUUUGCAAACUGAUAAUCUGCAAAUCUUAAAUAGAGAAUAAAACACAAAAAUAUCAUUAUCCCUCCAGAACUGAGGACAUAAAUUGGAGUUAGAAGAGUUAGCUUUGACACCUAGAUACGUUUUCAUUGAUUUGACCUUACUUGAUCUCAGUUUCUCUUUUAUAGAAUUAGUUCUUUAGAUCAGAGGUCCCCAACCCCAGGACUGCAGACUGCCACUGGUCUUUGGCCUGUCAGGCACCUGGCCACACAGCAGGAGUGUGAAAAAAAAGGAAAAAACUGAAAAUCUCAAGAGGAUUCCAGGAACUCAAAACAAUGAAUUACUGAAUAAAGAAUUUGAAAGAGAAAAUAGAUGCAUACUAAAAAAAGAAUUUUGUUUAGUGAGAUAGAAGUAAUAACGAAGGCAUGUUGAUAACGGGGGAGGCUAUAUAUAUAUAUGAGGGGAGGGAUAUAUUGGAAAUCUCUGUAUCUUCCUCUCAAUCUUGCUGUGAACCUAAAACUGCUCUAAAAAUUAUUUUGAAAAGGAA
Long non-coding RNA from Piliocolobus tephrosceles (Ugandan red Colobus), 742 nucleotides. RefSeq lists it as uncharacterized. The record is from RefSeq and is a predicted model, not a curated record. Lineage: Eukaryota; Metazoa; Chordata; Mammalia; Primates; Cercopithecidae. The transcript is spliced from 2 exons.